UGGGGAAUAUUGCACAAUGGACGGAAGUCUGAUGCAGCAACGCCGAGUGCGGGAUGACGGCUUUCGGGUUGUAAACCGCUUUUUCUCAUGACGAAGUUUGUUGACGGUAGUGGGGGAAGAAGCACCGGCUAACUACGCGGCAGCAGCCGCGGUGAUACGUAGGGUGAGAGCGUUGUCCGGAAUUAUUGGGCGUAAAGAGCUUGUAGGCGGUUAGUCGCGUCGAAAGUGCAAACUCAGUGCUUAACGCUGAGCCUGCUGUUGAUACGGGCAGACUAGAGGAAGGUAGGGGAGAAUGGAAUUCCCGGUGCAUCGGUGGAAUGCGCAGAUAUCUGGUGGAACACCGGUGGCGGAGGCGGUUCUCUAAGCCUUACCUAACACUGAGAAGCGAAAGCGUGGGGCGCGAACAGG
Molecule: ribosomal RNA, 408 nt
Filed under: Fusobacteriota bacterium
Lineage: Bacteria; Fusobacteriati; Fusobacteriota
Description: Fusobacteria bacterium partial 16S ribosomal RNA
Rfam family: Bacterial small subunit ribosomal RNA
Source: RNAcentral